UGCGUUGCGCAGUGGCAAUAUCGUAACCAAUGAAGGUCUCCUGAGAUGCGAUUAUUGCUAGUUGAAAAGUUUUACAAAUACCCCGUCAUGAAGUUUUGAAAAACCAACUAGGCGUCAAGGU
RNAcentral lists this small nuclear RNA (121 nucleotides) under Rhodnius prolixus. Its description in RNAcentral is "U4 spliceosomal RNA". It matches the Rfam family "U4 spliceosomal RNA". From Rfam's summary of the family: U4 small nuclear RNA (U4 snRNA) is a component of the major U2-dependent spliceosome. The structure of U4 snRNA from yeast and human has been reported. Lineage: Eukaryota; Metazoa; Arthropoda; Insecta; Hemiptera; Reduviidae. The record is from Rfam by way of RNAcentral.